UACGUAGGGUGCGAGCGUUAAUCGGAUUUACUGGGCGUAAAGCGUGCGCAGGCGGCCCGUUAAGACAGGUGUGAAAUCCCUGGGCUCAACCUAGGAAUUGCGCUUGUGACUGGCGGGCUCGAGUACGGUAGAGGGGGGUGGAAUUCCUGGUGUAGCAGUGAAAUGCGUAGAGAUCAGGAGGAACACCGGUGGAGAAGGCAGCCCCCUGGGCCUGUACUGACGCUCAUGCACGAAAGCGUGGGGAGCAAACAGG
Molecule: ribosomal RNA, 253 nt
Filed under: uncultured microorganism
Description: partial 16S ribosomal RNA
Rfam family: Bacterial small subunit ribosomal RNA
Source: RNAcentral